CCCGCAGAGCUGGAGAAGAUGUGUCUUAUCAUCCGACUGGCUGAGUCGUUUGAUGGUUUGGGAUCUAGCAGAAAAUAUGUGCUUGAACAACCCCCAAUGGGGGGGCAGCCGAUGAAACACUCGCACAUAACGAUGAAAGCAGAGAGAUGGGCAAUAGCAUUCGGAGGAAAGUGGUGAAGCUGUGCCCCGAAGUGGUUCAUGAUGCCCUUAAAGAAAGGAUGCGGGGGCAGGGAGAAACCUCGGUAGACAUGGCUGAGC
Molecule: long non-coding RNA, 258 nt
Filed under: Hordeum vulgare
Lineage: Eukaryota; Viridiplantae; Streptophyta; Magnoliopsida; Poales; Poaceae
Description: long non-coding RNA (HVUL_LNC013367)
Source: RNAcentral